This 320-nucleotide long non-coding RNA is filed under the name Monodelphis domestica (gray short-tailed opossum). Its description in RNAcentral is "lncRNA (ENSMODG00000031919.2)". Lineage: Eukaryota; Metazoa; Chordata; Mammalia; Didelphimorphia; Didelphidae. The record is from RNAcentral.
GAACAUCCCUCCCUUGGGUUUGCCAGUUUCAUCUUUGAAAUUGACAAAUGAAUCCAAGUAUGGCGAACCCAGUCAUGGCCAUUAGCUUGACCUCAUUCUCCAUCCUCACAUCAAGAAAGUUAAGGGAGGAGUAAAAGAAAUUAGUCUAUGAGCAAGGAGAGGCAGUGAGGUAUAUGGAAGCUGGAAUGCACGAAUGUCUCAAAAUCAUCCUAGACAGGAGUGUUAUUAAUUUGGUAAUAGGAGCUACACACCACUGGAGACACUGAAGGGCUAAUACUGGGGCUUUUGGACAGAUCUUUGAAGACUAACAGCACAACUGC